GAGCGAGCCGAGCGGGCGGUGCUCCCCGCCGCCGGCCGCCCCUGCUCUCGGCGCCCCGCUAUCCAUGGCUGGCUGGCUGUACUCCUCCCGGUGCGUCCUCCUCCCGCAUCUCGCCAGCCUCGGCAACUUCCCCUCAGCCAGCCUCUGCCCCCAGGCCGCCACGGCAUGGGCUAGACCCCGAGCCGCUUCUUGCCGUCUCCCGUCCAGUCCGCGCGCGGUCUCGCCCCUCUAGCCCGUCUCGCCCGUCCCCGCCGUUUCCCCGACAGUCAGCCCCAUCACUCGGUCGGCUUUCCUCCGCGGGGCAGCGGUGGAGGACCAGCGGGCUCCGCAGGAGCGGGCGCCCCCACCCCGCUCCUCCUCCCGCUCCUCCGCGCUCCCACUCGUCGGGAUCCCGGUCCCGCACCGAGGGACGCGCCGACCGACGUCCUCUCCCCGCGGCCGUACGACCCGCCCGGGGGCUGGACCAGGCGCCC
Molecule: long non-coding RNA, 473 nt
Filed under: Rattus norvegicus (Norway rat)
Lineage: Eukaryota; Metazoa; Chordata; Mammalia; Rodentia; Muridae
Description: long non-coding RNA NONRATT009595
Source: RNAcentral